RNAcentral lists this ribosomal RNA (436 nucleotides) under uncultured bacterium. RNAcentral's name for it is "bacterial SSU rRNA". It matches the Rfam family "Bacterial small subunit ribosomal RNA", at positions 957 to 1392 of the family's 1533-position model. The record is from RNAcentral.
GAACGCGAAGAACCUUACCAGGUCUUGACAUCCAACGAAUCUGUCUGAAAGGACGGAGUGCCUUCGGGAGCGUUGAGACAGGUGGUGCAUGGUUGUCGUCAGCUCGUGUCGUGAGAUGUUGGGUUAAGUCCCGCAACGAGCGCAACCCUUGCUAUUAGUUGCUAACAGGUUAAGCUGAGCACUCUAAUGGGACUGCCGGUGACAAGCCGGAGGAAGGUGGGGAUGACGUCAAAUCAUCAUGCCCUUUAUGACCUGGGCUACACACGUGCUACAAUGGAUGGUACAGAGAGCAGCAAUGCCGCGAGGUGGAGCGAAUCUCAAAAAGCCAUUCUCAGUUCGGAUUGUAGUCUGCAACUCGACUACAUGAAGUCGGAAUCGCUAGUAAUCGCGAAUCAGCAUGUCGCGGUGAAUGCGUUCCCGGGUCUUGUACACACCG